RNAcentral lists this long non-coding RNA (4151 nucleotides) under Podarcis lilfordi (Lilford's wall lizard). The record is from RNAcentral. Lineage: Eukaryota; Metazoa; Chordata; Lepidosauria; Squamata; Lacertidae.
GUGUCAGGGAACUGCCAUCGGACGGAAGGGAGGUGAAAGGGCUCACACAGGUUGGGAGAGACGCAGCAGCUGAAGAGGGAACCAACAGGGAGGUGAAAGGGCUCACACAGGUUGGGAGAGACGCAGCAGCUGAAGAAGGAACCAGCAGGGGGAGAGGAGCUGAGCUGGAGGGAUGGCUCAGAGACACUUCCAGCGAAAACAGUGGGGAGGUUUCAGAACCUCCUGUAAGAACACCCACUCCUCGCCGGAAACUGUCACGCAGAGAUUCCAGAAGACGUGUUUCCGUUAAGGAGCUUUUAUGUUGGAAGCGAUUACGAAAGCAACCACUGUCGGAAUCUGCUAGUGACUAGAGCAGCCAUGUCUGAGGGGCUCCGUCACAGACAGAGGUUUGUGGACUUGAACAAACUCUGAGGGGAUACGAUUUUACGCACAAGCAGCUCAUCAUCCCAUCACAGCAUUCCGACAGUCUUUGAAAGCAGCUUGUGCAGGAGAAGGCAUCAUGAGCAACCCAGCCGGAACCGGAGAAGCAGGAGCUGGAGCGGGUCCAAGCCUGGAAGAAAGGUACCAGAUGUUGGAGGUCCAGCUAGCGAUGCAGACGGCGAGGCUUGAGGAGAGGAGGGCUCAGGAUGCAGACAAAAGGGGAAAGCCACCCAGUUCGCCAGAAAGGUACCAGGAUUGGUGCAGAAGUUUGGGGGAGCCCAAAACUAUCAUGGUUUUCGGACAGAAAUGCAAUAUGCCCUCAAUCUGCAGUUUGAUGAAUUCCCUGACGAGGAAUCACGAGUGGCUUUCGUGAUUGAGCAUCUUGAAAAGGGGGCGAGAGACUGGGUUAGACCCCUGAUGGCAGCGAAUAGUGACGUCUUAAAGGACACGAUGAAGUUCUUUCGCGCCAUGGAUCUGAUGUUUUCCAGCGAUAUUGAAAAGGGAGUGGUGCGCAGACAGUUAAUGGGUUGCAAACAGGGGAGCCGAUCUGUCCGUGAGUACUGGACUGAGUUCACCAUGCUUGUUCACAGAUUGGGGUGGGACUUAUCGGCGGAACCCAUUCAAAUGCUCUUUGAAGAAGGGCUUUCUUCGGCUGUGAAAGACGAACUUUCCCGGGCGCCCAGGGCGGAGUCUAUGGACCAGCUGACCAAAUCAGCGCUGGCCAUAGGAGCGCGCCAGGAGGCGAGAGCAUUGGAGAGGCGGGAAGGGAAAGGGGAACGUUGGAAGGAGUUCCGCAUUCCAGACAUUCCAGAGCCAACUUUCCCACCGGCAGAGCCGAUGGAAAUCGGAACAGCGCGCGCGCGCAGUUUCAAAGCCCAGUGAGGGGGCAAAGAAGGAGGGAAAAGGCGCCCGGAAAUGCUAUCUCUGCCAACAGCCAGGUCACUUUGCCAGAGUCUGCCCCCAGAGGAAAGAAUGGCAAGGGAUGGUAGGAGCUGUGGAUGGAAGAGAAAAACUACCGGAGCAAGUAAAAGCCAACGCCUGGCUGCCACUGUCAGGGCACAGCAGCCAGGCCAAAGAGCAGUGAGAGUGCCCACGCCAGAACCUCCUAAACCCGCCCUAGUGAUAGAAGUGACGCUAGAGCUGCCAAACGGACACCCUCUAAAGAUAAAGGCGCUGUUGGACUCAGGCAGCUCCUGCAAUUUCAUGAGCAAAGAGUUUGCAGCUGAACACCAGAUACAGACAAUCCCUUUAAGCAGCCCCUUGCAGGUGACCACGAUCGAUGGCAGGGAGCUGUUGGGUGGAGAAGUCAGCUUGCAGACCGUCCCAAUGAUAAUGAAGGUAGCAAGGCACACCGAACUGAUAGCUUUUAAUGUGGCCACCUUGGGAGGAGCUCCCAUUAUAUUGGGGAUGAGCUGGCUAGCGUUACAUGAUCCGCUGGUGGGCUGGCAUCAGAGAGUGGUUUCUUUUGGUUCAGCACAUUGCUUAGAACACUGCAAAGAGGGAAAGGGUUUGGCAGGGGUCCAAGCCGCCCUAGCAGGGACUGAAGUAACAGAGAACGUGAAGGUACCACGACAAUAUGCAGAUCUCCGUGACGUCUUCAGCGAAAGGGAAGCUGACCAACUCCCCCCGCAUAGACCCUUUGACUGUCAAAUCAACUUACUCCCUGGAGCACAGCUCCCUGUAGGCAAGCUGUACGCCAUGUCAGACAGAGAGAUGCAGGAGUUAAGAGAGUUCAUUGACAAGAACCUGAAGAGAGGGUUCAUCAGAGAGUCCAGGUCGGUGGGGGGCAGCCCAGUGUUUUUGUGGAUAAGAAAAACACGAACAAGCCGAGGCUGGUGUGUGACUUCAGGGCCUUAAAUGCAGUGUCAGAACCAGUAGCCUUCCCUAUGCCCAGGAUUGACGACAUUUUGACAAGGGUGCGGAAGGGAAAGAUUUUCACAAAGCUGGACCUAAGGGGGGCGUACAACCUGGUACGAAUAAGGAAGGGGGAUGAAUGGAAAACCACUAUGUUCACCCCUUUAGGGGCAUUUGAAUAUUUGGUUAUGCCCUUCGGCCUACAAGCAGGCUCCGCAACAUUUCAAUCGUUUAUGAACCACGUCCUGGGGCCUUUGCUUUACAAGAAUUGUGUGGCCUUUUUAGACGACGUGUUGGUGUAUUCUGAGAAUGAGGAGCAGCAUGUGAGAGACGUCAGAGAAGUGUUGAGCAGGCUGCAAGCCAACCAGCUGUGGGUGAAACUGGAGAAGUGUCAGUUUCAUACCAAGGAGGUGGAAUUCCUGGGGUAUCGCCUGUCAGACAAGGGAUUGGCCAUGGAUCCCGGCAAGGUCCAGGCGGUACUGGAAUGGAAAACACCCAAAACAAAGAAGGAUGUGCAGAGGUUCCUAGGAUUUGGGAACUUCUAUCGUAAGUUCAUCCGAAACUUUGCCCACCUGACGGCGCCCAUUACGGACUGUCUCAGCAGUAAGAAGAAGUUCGUGUGGACUGAGGAGGCGGAGCGAGCAUUUGAGGAACUAAAAAGGGCCUUCGCCUCGGAACAACAACUCCUGCAUGUGGAUUUACAAAAACCGAUGAGAGUGGAAACUGACGCAUCAGACAGAGCGAUUGGGGCGGUGCUUCUGCAGCCAGGCAAGAAGGGGUCAGAGUGGAGACCGUGUGCCUUUUUUCGCGAAAGCUGAACAAAUCCGAGAGGAACUACACGGUGUAUGACCGAGAACUACUAGCCAUUUAUGAGGCGUUCCGGAGAUGGAGGCACCUGCUAAUUGGCGCACAACAUAAGGUGCAAGUGUGCACUGACCACAAGAACCUAGAGUAUUGGAGGACGGCACGAGUGCUCAACCAACGGCAAGUGAGAUGGGCCCAGGAGUUCUCCAAAUUUAACUUUGAGAUUAGUUACGUGCCAGGCCCAGAGAACAUUAGGGCGGACGCUCUCUCACGCAAACCUGAAUAUUUGGAGGGGAGGGGCACCCGAAGAGAGACAUGUCAUUCCAGAAGACCGCUGGGUGUGUGGGGCGGCAUUGGUGGGACAAAGAGAACUGGUAGAGGAAACAGAGAAUGAUGAAUACGCCCAGAAUAAGCUCAGAGGUCUUAGGGGUGAUGGAGAGGAACCAGGGGGUUUCGAGGAAAGAAAUGGAGCUUUGUAUUACAAGGGGCACUGUAUAUCCCUGAAGGAGAGUUAAGGGGAGGGUACUCAAGCAGUUGCACGACAGCCCUACGGCGGGGCAUUUUGGACAACACAAAACCAUGUGGUUGGUCACCAGGGAAUUUUGGUGGCCUAAGGUGAGGGAAGAUGUACGUGAGUAUGUAAGAGGGUGCGAGCAAUGCCAGCGAGCCAAAGGGGAAAGGCGGGCGCCGGCGGGGCUAUUAGAACCCUUACCAACCCCAGAACGACCUUGGGAGGCAGUGUCGAUAGAUUUUAUGACUGAUCUGCCGAAGUCCAAAGGGAAAACAGCCAUCAUGGUGGUGGUAGACCUACUAACAAAGAUGUGCCACUUUGUAGCUUGCUCGCAUGCAGUCACGGCGGAAGAGACAGCGAAGUUAUUUGUAGAAAACAUUUUUAGGUUGCACGGGGUGCCAUUGAGGGUGGUCUCAGACCGAGGAAAACAAUUUACUUCCAGGUUCUGGAGGAAGCUCAUGAGCUUACUGCAGGUGGAGGUCAAUUUUUCGACUGCCCGGCACCCUGAAACCAACGGGCAGGCGGAAAGAGCAAACGGUGUCCUCCAGCAAUACCUGAGGUG